UGCGAGUGGUGGAGGAAUUGUGCUGACUGGACUUGUGGGCAUCUGUUUGUACGGAUGCACACGAAAGUCAAAGACAGAGAGGAUUUGGAUCGAAUUCAACAGCAAAAAACAGGGUAUGUUUUUACUCCCCUCCCCCCCAAAUUAAGCCAUUUCUUACUCAAAACAUAAGUACAGGCCAAGGUUUGCUGAAAUGUCAGUCUGCAUUGUAGGACUUCCUUUAGCAACAGCCAGUUCAGACACAACUGGAGAGGAAGAUGCAGUGCUUUAUUCAACCAUCAACGUCAUGCAACCCCCCUCACAACCACCCGGUAUAUUUGAUAAAACUAUAUCUUCAUCUUAGUCUGAACUCUA
Molecule: long non-coding RNA, 351 nt
Filed under: Sinocyclocheilus anshuiensis
Lineage: Eukaryota; Metazoa; Chordata; Actinopteri; Cypriniformes; Cyprinidae
Description: lncRNA (ENSSANG00000051532.1)
Source: RNAcentral